UAAAAAAGGGGACGGAGGGGAUUAAGUCGUAUUCGGAACAAUUGGGUCUGAAACGACUUAAUCCCCUCCGUCCCCUUUUUGU
RNAcentral lists this non-coding RNA (82 nucleotides) under Stenotrophomonas sp. CC22-02. The record is from RNAcentral. Lineage: Bacteria; Pseudomonadati; Pseudomonadota; Gammaproteobacteria; Lysobacterales; Lysobacteraceae.